RNAcentral lists this ribosomal RNA (491 nucleotides) under uncultured bacterium. RNAcentral's name for it is "partial 16S ribosomal RNA". It matches the Rfam family "Bacterial small subunit ribosomal RNA", at positions 29 to 506 of the family's 1533-position model. The record is from RNAcentral.
AGUGAACGCUGGCGGUAGGCCUAACACAUGCAAGUCGAACGGCGGCACAGUAAGAGCUUGCUCUUACGGGUGGCGAGUGGCGGACGGGUGAGGAAUACAUCGGAAUCUACUUUUUCGUGGGGGAUAACGUAGGGAAACUUACGCUAAUACCGCAUACGACCUACGGGUGAAAGCAGGGGAUCUUCGGACCUUGCGCGAUUGAAUGAGCCGAUGUCGGAUUGGCUAGUUGGCGGGGUAAAGGCCCACCAAGGCGACGAUCCGUAGCUGGUCUGAGAGGAUGAUCAGCCACACUGGAACUGAGACACGGUCCAGACUCCUACGGGAGGCAGCAGUGGGGAAUAUUGGACAAUGGGCGCAAGCCUGAUCCAGCCAUACCGCGUGGGUGAAGAAGGCCUUCGGGUUGUAAAGCCCUUUUGUUGGGAAAGAAAAGCAGCAGGUUAAUACCCCGCUGUUCUGACGGUACCCAAAGAAUAAGCACCGGCUAACUUCGU